GCUAGAGUGGCGAACGGGUGAGUAACACGUGAGUAACCUGCCCUUGACUUUGGGAUAACUUCAGGAAGCUGGGGCUAAUACCGGAUAGGAGCUCCUGCUGCAUGGUGGGGGUUGGAAAGUUUCGGCGGUUGGGGAUGGGCUCGCGGCUUAUCAGCUUGUUGGUGGGGUAGUGGCUUACCAAGGCUUUGACGGGUAGCCGGCCUGAGAGGGUGACCGGCCACAUUGGGACUGAGAUACGGCCCAG
This 244-nucleotide ribosomal RNA is filed under the name uncultured Actinomycetales bacterium. Its description in RNAcentral is "partial 16S ribosomal RNA". It matches the Rfam family "Bacterial small subunit ribosomal RNA", at positions 89 to 334 of the family's 1533-position model. The record is from RNAcentral. Lineage: Bacteria; Bacillati; Actinomycetota; Actinomycetes; Actinomycetales.